UCUGGGGAUAGUCGGACAUUCAGGAGCAUGAAAUCGGUCAGGUUCGGAAGAAAGCAGUCGUAGUGAACACCGAAUGGGUCGGUUAUCCUCUGUGUU
RNAcentral lists this signal recognition particle RNA (96 nucleotides) under Holosporaceae bacterium. RNAcentral's name for it is "signal recognition particle sRNA small type". It matches the Rfam family "Bacterial small signal recognition particle RNA". From Rfam's summary of the family: The signal recognition particle (SRP) is a universally conserved ribonucleoprotein involved in the co-translational targeting of proteins to membranes. Archaeal SRP consists of a 7S RNA and homologues of the eukaryotic SRP19 and SRP54 proteins. Lineage: Bacteria; Pseudomonadati; Pseudomonadota; Alphaproteobacteria; Holosporales; Holosporaceae. The record is from RNAcentral.